CUUCCAUUCCUGGCGCUCGACUCGAUUCACCGGCCCGCCGCGUCGUAAAUAAAGGACGGCGAAAGGCGGUUGCGUUCCAUGGCACACGACGCCUUGCCGUUCUUGGCUCUGGCUCACAUCACAUCCGAUGCGCGUCUUCGCCAGGGCAAACGGCAAACGCUCUUCCAUUCUCGGUUUCUCGAUGGAGACGCGAGCGAGCCGCGUCUUCCGCGAGUGCGCGCUCGUUUGUCGUUUCAUCUCCAUCCAUCUCUCUUUCGGUUCGGCCUGCUUUUUCUGCACCUCCGUCCGUCACCGUCUCGGGUUAAAGCCGUGUGUACGUGACAAGGCCUCUCCUUCCAUUGUUACCAUAAGUAAGCUCUCUAGAUCGCGGUUUUGGGUGUAGCCACC
Molecule: long non-coding RNA, 387 nt
Filed under: Sorghum bicolor (sorghum)
Lineage: Eukaryota; Viridiplantae; Streptophyta; Magnoliopsida; Poales; Poaceae
Description: long non-coding RNA (SBIC_LNC004060)
Source: RNAcentral